AACGCACAUUGCGCCCGCCAGUAUUCUGGCGGGCAUGCCUGUUCGAGCGUCAUUUCAACCAUCAAGCCCCCGGGCUUGCGUUGGGGCCCUGCGGCUGCCGCAGACCCCUAAAACCAGUGGCGGGCUCGCUGUCACACCGAGCGCAGUAGCAAUAUCUCGCUCUGGGCGUGGCGCGGGUGCUUGCCGUAAAACACACUACUUAACAAGGUUGACCUCGGAUCAGGUAGGAAUACCCGCUGAACUUAA
This 246-nucleotide unclassified non-coding RNA is filed under the name uncultured Sordariales. Its description in RNAcentral is "sequence contains ITS2". The stretch from base 1 to 52 matches the Rfam family "5.8S ribosomal RNA", at positions 103 to 154 of the family's 154-position model. Lineage: Eukaryota; Fungi; Ascomycota; Sordariomycetes; Sordariales. The record is from RNAcentral.